This 3340-nucleotide long non-coding RNA is filed under the name Brassica rapa (field mustard). RNAcentral describes it as "long non-coding RNA (BRAP_LNC007932)". Lineage: Eukaryota; Viridiplantae; Streptophyta; Magnoliopsida; Brassicales; Brassicaceae. The record is from RNAcentral.
AUCACUGCAUGCAAAGCGUACAGGUUCCCUUGUGUAGGUACCUUUUAUGUUUAUGUAGUUUAUGUUUGAUACAGCGACUGCUGAAGUUUCAUUGUGGCAUCCUCCACCAUCGCAGUAAUAUUGAUCUAUUACUAUCGGAUUAGCUACUUCGCUGACUUGGAUAUUUGAAAACAUAACUUGUUUUACAGACCCUGACCCUCCCUACCAUUAAACAUAAUAGAAAGUUGUCAGAAUCUUUGAGCGGUUACUUUGAUUUGUCUUUGCCUUUGUUUUGUUAUGCAAACAUAUGUGUAGAAGAAUUUACCUGCCAGGAUUUUAUUCGAACACCAUUCGUAGUUUCAUGCAUAGUGACAUCACGGACAGUGAUGUUUGAAACACACGCCUUUGUGUUCUCCUUUCCUAGUCCUCCAAUGCUAAUUCCAUGGCCAGGCCCACAGUCUACAUCGUGUAUGUAGAUAUUUGAGCAUCCUGUUUGAAUUGAUAUACAGUCAUCUCCUGUAAAAUGCACGAAAUUGUUAUUUCUUCAUCUUGGCAAGUUUGUUGAGGAAGUAUAAUCUGGAAAUGUUUUGAUGAUUUGACUUGUAGUAUCUAAUUAAGAAUAUAUUGACUUGUAACAAAAUAUAAUUUAAACAAAAUGGGGUAUGUUUGAAGUCUGUUGUUACCACAAGCCAGCGUGCUGCGGUAAAUAACGGCGUCUUGAGAGUUUUGCAGGUGGAUUCCAUCUGUGUUUGGAGAAUCUCCAGGAGAUGAAGUUGUGAAGUCAGACACUUGAAUGUUUACGCAGUUAUCAAACUUGAGGUGGGUCUGAGGGCUGUUCUGUAUGGUUAUUCCAUUAACCAUUACACCGUUACUCCCGUAGAAUCUCAACGCCUACGUACCAGCCAAGGUAAUUGAUUAAGUUUCACAUUUUGACUUUAAUUGGCAUCUCCAACCAUGAGGCAAUCAAAUGAAACUUACUGUUGGUUUUGUUCCUGGCAUUUUCGUGCCCUUUCGAUCCUUCAUCUUUCACAAAUAAAAAAGGUACAGGAAGCAGAGGUUAUUGUAAGCUAGAUUUUUUUUUUUUAAUUUUGUUUAGCUAGGGAAAUUGAGUUUAGUAUUACCAUGUCGUUCUCAUCUGCUGGAUCAUAGUCAGGGGACUUGUUCCACCAUACCGAUCCUUGUCCAUCUAUUACUCCUUUUCCUUUUAUAGUGAUUCCUGUAAGUGAUUUGAAUUCCAUCCAUUGCAAGAGACCUGAUCCCCAGACACUCGAACUUGUUGGAGCUAUGAUCUUUCCAUCUAACUGCACAAUGUCCAAAUACACAACUAUAUAACUAAAGUUGCUCGAAUAACAUUUCUUUGUUUUUUUUUAUUUUUUUGAAAUUCACCUGAAAUACAAUGUUCUCUUUACACUCUUUUCCCAGGAAGGAGACAGGUCCAACAAGGAACGUAGAACCGGAUGGAACUAAUAAUGUCGAUGCUGCCACUUUACAAGCUUCAUUCCAAGCAUCUUCAAAGGCCUGCAAUAUCAAAGGUACAUUGAUCAUCAAAAUCUUCAUUGUUUGGACGGUAUAGUUGCAUUAUAUUUGCUGCUAAACCAUUGAAAUGCUAAUUCACCUUCGUGUCAUCACUUGUCCCGUCACCUUUUGCACCAUAGUCAAGGACAUUGAACGUUCCGGAACUUCCCCCUUCAGCGUUAGACCUGCGGUUUCCUCUCCAGUAUACACUGUGUCUAGCGUCACAAGAGAUUAAAAGGAGAAGUUUCAGGGCAAGACAUUUCAAGGUUAGACUAUACAUCUUUAGUAUGUUGAAAUAAUUUGUGUCUAGGAAGAAAUGUGUUUAGAUUUUGAAUGAUGAGGAACUGAUGAGACGAGGUUCAUAUUUAUAAGUAGAGAAAACACUGUUCCACAUAUGAGUUAUGAAACUAUGAAACAGUUAAACAGUUAGAUGAGGACAAAAAGCUUUGGAACUCUCUUCCUCUUCAAGCAUGUUCUACUCAUUUGCUAUAUUUUAAUUUAAUUGGAAAAUGAGCAAAAAAGCUGAUGGGGGUUUACUUGCUUGAUCAGCUUUUUCUAUUGACCGCAUCGUCACACUUUACUUGCGAUUUGGCUUUGAUUUGUUCUUGAACAAUGCGUAUUACUCAGAGUUCUUUAAUAUCAUUUAGCUUUGAUUGUUCAUGAAUAAUGCAGUGUUACUUAGAAUUUGUUUGUGUCGAUCAUUACUAACAUCUUAAUGUUCCUCUAGCAUUAAUUAGAAGUUCCAUUGAAUGGCUAUGAGGUGUCUGUGCAGUACUUUAGUUGCUAGAAACAUCUGAUCAACUUUCGUUUAUACUUUAUAACAUAACACGGGUCUUUUCAGGUACUGAGCUGGUCUUGGUAAGCUCUUCGGUUAACACAAAAACCAAAAUCUAUUUAUCAGGCAAAGGAUUAUUAAAGAGUCAAGAAAAGUUGCCAUACAAUCACAGGCAUGUCACGUAGACCUCAUCAUAAGAUAAUCUUUUUUUUUUAUUUUGAAUUCCUUAAAUUAAGCAGCGUAAUUUAGGUUAAAUCUGUGGUGUUCAUUGAAUCUUCUCAAAUGCUAUAUAAAAUCUAUUUAUCAUUUUUUCUUCGAACUCAUGAACAUUCAAAGGUCCAUAUUAGUUGCACGAGAAUAGGAUGCUCAGCACGGUUUGAUUAUGGUAUAUUAGUAAGAUUCAAAGUUAUGUAUUGAACUCGUGAUGAAGAUACACUUUGCAUGCAGCCCCAGGUGGAAGGAAGAAUAUAGACUUGUAGAGUAUAGACUAGCACGUUGCUACAUGUAUGGAUCCCAUGCGUUGACUUUGACAAAACUUUGUUGAAUUAUUCUAUAUCUCUUGAUCUUGAAGAGCCUAUUGGUCCCCAAAUUCACUGAAAUGCUGUUACUAUUUUAUUAAUUGUACCUUGCUUUGGCUGUUGGAAGUGUGAUUAUAUAUAAGAAAUUAAAUUUCAAGUGAUUCCAUGUCGUGUAACUGAUUUCUUGUACACUUUUUUAUUAUCUUCGACUAUAUUAGGUGUGAGGUAGGUGGUGCAUGUUGCAGUUUCUAUACGAUUAGAGAUGUAUUUUUGUUGUUGGUUUAGUUAUUUUAUCAUUUUGAUAUAGAUUUUACGAAGAAAAAUGGUUGGAUAGCAGCAAUUCACGGAAGAGAUCAUAACUCGUAGCUUGCAAGUCACAUGAACAAUAUUUUCUAGCAGUCUGUAGAAUUUCGGUAUAUGCCCAACAACUCGUGCAAGUCGUACCAUUUGAAAAUUGCACCAUUAUGUAAUCGUAACCCGUGAUCUGAUUCUGAUGUAACGUCUAUUACAUUUUCUUAUGUAUAAUGAAAUCUAUUUGUAUGUGCAGCAGGCG